Molecule: long non-coding RNA, 146 nt
Organism: Olea europaea var. sylvestris
Lineage: Eukaryota; Viridiplantae; Streptophyta; Magnoliopsida; Lamiales; Oleaceae
Exons: 2
Source: RefSeq, a predicted model, not a curated record
GACAGAUUGCAGAUCGUUCGGAAUACGACGACAGCGAGACAGUCCGUAAGCGGCGACUGCGGCAUAUUUGCCAUUAAGUACGUUGAAUUUUUAAGUAUAGGACAUAAGGUUGAUGGAAUCAACCAGUCGUGGAUACAGAACUGGAG